UAGUUGUGUCCUAAGUCAAACUUUUCUAACUGCAAUCAAGUUUAUAGAAAAAGCGCACCAACAUCUAUAUGAUAACAAAUAAGUAUACCAUGAAAACAUAUUUCAUGGUUGAUUUAAUGAAACUAAUUUGAUGUUGUAGAUGUUGGUGUAUUUUUCUAUGAUCUUGGUCAAAGUUAUCUAAGUUUGACUUAGGAAAAACCUAA
Molecule: microRNA precursor, 203 nt
Filed under: Oryza punctata
Lineage: Eukaryota; Viridiplantae; Streptophyta; Magnoliopsida; Poales; Poaceae
Description: MIR1435 microRNA precursor family
Rfam family: MIR1435 microRNA precursor family
Source: Rfam by way of RNAcentral